Centrocercus urophasianus (Greater sage-grouse) is the source of this 5016-nucleotide long non-coding RNA. RefSeq lists it as uncharacterized. The record is from RefSeq and is a predicted model, not a curated record. The transcript is spliced from 2 exons. Lineage: Eukaryota; Metazoa; Chordata; Aves; Galliformes; Phasianidae.
GAGACUUGGGGCUGUGCAGCCUGGAGAAGAGAAGGCUAGAGAGGGGUCUUGUCAAUGCUUAUAAAUAUUUAAUGGACGUCAGUCACGUGAAUGGGGCCCAGUGGCAAAAGAAGGAGCAACUUACAGAUAAAAGCAAUUGAGCAUUAUGUAUACAGUGUGUUCUUUGGGGAUUAAAGGUGUUGCUGAUUUCCAUUGUAUUGACCCUGAGAAGUUGUAGACUGGGCUGUCUGCCAUUCUGUGGUGACAGUUCUAGCUAAAUAGCAGUUUCUAUCAAUGUACUUCUCCUGAGUUUGUUUCAUACAGCAGUACCUAGACUUUAAAGCAAGAGUGACCAUAUUAUACUUAGGCAGGUUCUAUCUACUUCAGUAUUCUUUCUCCAGUCAAGUAAGUGAAUACCUUAUAAAAGCCUAAGAAAAGGUCAAGUGUAAAUGCUUAUUUAUUCACUUCUCACAGCCUCUGACCAUUUUCACUUCUCAAGCUGAUUAUGGGUUUUGUAUAUUUAGCAAACUUUGGACAGAUCACUUUGCAAGAUUGUCUAGUCUUCACAACAUCUUUUGGCAAGGAGUUCAGGAAAUCAGCUGGCCCCUGAGUGAGGAGACACCUCUUUGUGUUGAACUGCCGUUAUCUUCAGGGGGUGUUACCUCAGCCUUAUAUUGGAAGAAAAUUUAACAGUCCAAGGUGCUCGGGAUUUUACAGUCCUCUGUUAUAUCCUUUCAGUUGUCUCUUUUUUCAGUCUGAAAAAUCCUGUCAAAUUGUACCAUAUCUGUAAAUAAUACAAUCGGUAAAAAUAAAAUAAAAACAAAAAUCCUGAUAGUUGCUUUGAGUCUUGAAUUUCUACUGGGGACUGAAUUGAUGCUUUAGGAACUUCUUAUCGUAACCUCAGUGUUUUACUUCUGAGUGUUAAUGGUCAGCUCUGAAAACACGCAGGAGCAGGUAUGUGCAAAGUUAGAAUUGCUUUUCUGCCUGUACAUCAUGUUACAUUUACUUACAUUGAAUCCUACUUGCUAUUUUAUGACCAAUUCCUGUUCUGUCUGUUGCCCCUCAUGCUCACCACACUGAAUAUCACUAAACUAUCAUAAUCUUGUCCACCCCAUUUUCUAGUAUGCUGAGCCUGACAGCUCUAUCACAACAAGUCUCUGAGGAGCUGUGCUGGUGAACUUCGUCUACUGAGGUCACCUUGACCAGAAAGAAAGGACUUUAAACAGCUCUUCUACCAUGCAAGUACCUUUCCUUAAAAGCCUGGUUGAGGAGUGUGGUUGGAAGCUUGCUGGCAACUCAACUAUGUUUAUCAACCAAACCAUCCUCAUCCACGGACCUUCUGAGCCCUUCAAAGACAUUUGAUAGGUCAUCAGAAUUAUUGCUCAGUGAGAAAUGCAGUGACAGUUUCCAGAAGAGUGGCAGAUUGGCAGAUGUUUCAUAAAACACAAGAAUGCACUUAUUAACAUAGGCCUGUUAGAUCUGCACAUGCACAGUUUGUGUAAGAACUCACAGUGGUGAGGUACAAGGGCUACACUGUUUGUAAACGGAAUAAUUCAAAUUGAUGCAUUGUACCUCUUUCAGUGGUUGUUUUGCUUUGUGUAUGUGUAUGCUUUUCUCUGUAAUACCCAGUAAGUAGUGAGUUUGACAUAAUUAAAAGCAGCAUAUCUUGCAUUUACAGGAAGAAGGAAGAGUUGAGAGUGUGUACAUAGGUAUUCGCUGCGGAGCUGCUGGUUUGUGGUAACUUCUUUGUAUGUCAGUCCUUUUUCUGCACUGCAGUGGUUAACUCUUCCUUUUAAAAAAAGAAGAAACGUUUGAAUUCAUAUGCUUUCUAGAUGUGUCCAGGGGCCAACUCUGAGCCCUGACUAAUGCCACAUUGUGCUGUUGCGUGCAAGAUUAUCUUUCCAGGUAAGCAUGAUAAGUGUUCAAAUGAAUCUAUCAAAAAUCAGUGGAAAGGAUGUCAUAAUACAAAGUCUGUUACUGUAAAAAAUCUAAAAGUCUUCGAAAGCGAGUUUGGAAAGAAAGUGAUAGCUUUGUUUGUAACCUAGCUGCAGGGCCUGGCAGCAGCAGCUCAAGAAGAGGUGUGGGGAUGAGCUGAAUAGAUUCCCUGCUGGCCAGCAGAGCUGGGAGGCUGCAUCCUACCAAUAGGAGACUGACUUCUCUUUUGAAUCCCUUUGGGUAAAGGAAGGGAGAUGUUUUUUGACUUUUUUUUCUUUUUUUUCCCCCCAAUGGAACAUUGGGAAGUAAAAGCCAUUCUCGAGAGGAAAGAACAGCCUACUGGAAAUAAAAGUUCUUUGAUGUCAAAUGGAGUACAGUGUCAUAGGAGAUUUGUGAUUUCUUUUGCUUUUUCUUAAUCUCAGAUUUGUCACAGUAAAUACAGCUAAGAGAAAAAAGUAUGUAAACCAGGAGGUGGAAGAAGGAAGAGAUGCUGAAGGUACAAAGUUUGUUAUUGAUUACUCAGUUCCCAAUUUUCUGAUUUGGAUUUGUAAUUAAACUAUUUUCAGUUGAGUUUUGGUUUGUAGCAUUUGCUGCAGUGCAACUGUGUGAUGCAGUGCUGAAUCUAAGUAGGAUGUCAGAAGUGCUCACUUCAUUUUCUCUGAAUGCCACAGUCUCUCUCAGGACUCCCAUCACUAUUGGCAGGCACAUUUCUCAAAAUCUACUUUUUUACAGCAUCACUUAAAUCACAGAAUCACAGAAUCGCAGGGAUGAAAGGGACCUCAAGAGAGCAUUGAGUCCAACCCCCUGCUAAAGCAGGUACCCUAGAAUAGGGUGCACAGGUGGGCAUCCGGAUCGGUCUUGAUUAUCUCCAUAGAAGGAAACUGCAACCUCUGGGCAACCUGUUCCAGUGCUCCAUCACCUUUACCAUAAAGAAGUUCUUAAUGCAUGUUAGUACAAAACUUACUCUGUUGAAGUUUUAGGCCAUUACUCUUUGUCCCAUCGCUACACUCUCUCACCGUAAAGCGCAAGCAAUCUUUCAUGCCUUAAUGAUAAAAAGAAGACUGACUUUUGAGACUGGAAGCUGCUUUUGUUGCUGUUUUCUUGUUUGUUCUUAGACAAAAAGUGAAACAACAAAGUCUCUUACUGAGUUUGGCUGAUGCCUGUGAAAGAUGUUAUUUGAUUAUAUAAAAUCUUAGACAUAAACCAGCUGAGAAAGGGAAUGCAUUUUGUAUAGUCUAGAGUUAAUGUUGUUUCCAUGCAGGCUCUCAAAAGCAUCUCUCUUCAGUGCACUGUUUUCUCUCCUGGAUAUUGCUUUUUUAAACGUACAAUCUGUGCAGCAUCUAAUGUCUUUGCUGCUUAUCAUUCCCCACCAUCCUGGCAUACAUGGCCUAUUUCAUUGCACUGACUGUAGUGCUCACGUAGAUGUUACUCUGUUCUGGUUGAACAUGAAUCUUCUGUUUGCAGCGUUGUGUAAUUUUUCAGCCAGAACCACAGUUGUAUAAACACCAGUGCAGACAGAAGGAAGCAAGUAUGUUUGGCUGGGGAUGGAUGAGCUCCUUUCAGCAUUGCUUCUGUUUUAAAUCUUGAUUCUGAAGACACAUCCUAUUCAAUAAUGUGAUACAACACGGGUGAGUUAAUGAGAGUAUCACAUUCCAUUGCAUUUAGCUCAAUAGAAAAUCACUCUCAAGCAGAUAGAAGCAAGAUAAAGGGUACAAGAAGAAAGAAUAAAGACAGUGUUAAUAAAUUUGUGUGAAUUACGAAUAAUUAUCUAAUAAUGUAAUCAUUAUUUACUGUAUUUCCGGAUUAGAGACCUACUCCCAUUUACUGCAUCAAACUAAAUAACUCUUUUGUUUAUUAGCACUGUUUGCCCAUGCCAUGUUUAUGAGAGGAUACAUCUCCUCCCAUUCAGGUCCUUUGCAAAAUAGCCCCUUUGGCACAGUGUAGAUCAACUAGCUUUAUGCAUAUAUUCUCUUAAGAAAAACUAAAGGCGUAAACGAAAUAUCUGUUUUGACAAGAUGCCUACUUUGAUCAUAAAUGUUAAGGAGAUAGUAGUAUGAUUUUAUACUCACUUCCUGAAUAAUACAAUCUGUGGUAUCUUUCUCCAGUAAUUUCAUCAUAAAGUCAGUAAUUUCCUUUUGAACUGAAGUCUGUAUUUUAGGAAAAUACCUCUUCUUGAUAGGACAGGGCCAUGUUUAGCCAUGGAAUUUGUGCUAUCUUUUUGAACUAUUAUACAUCAAGGAAGAAUGGAGUUUCUGUAUUAGCAUUUGCAGCAUUUGAGUGUCGAUGUCUUGUGCUCACAAUGCUUGCUUCUGGCCUGAACACUUGGGCUUUCCUUUUUAGGAGAAUAAACCCACAUAUGAAUUCAUACAUUUUCAGUGCCUCUCUGCAUCUCUGAAUGUUGUAGGAACACAGAAAGUGAUUUUCUGUAACCAUGCUCAACCUUGCAUCUCUGGCUAGGCUGCUGUUUCAGAGUUCUACAUCUGCUUCCUUUCUGGGUUGCAGUUAGAGCUGUAUGCUUUCUGUCUGCUGGGCUGCUGCUUUUUUUUUCCCGCAAAGCUCAAGCAGCUGUGUCCUGGCUUCUGUUACCGCUGCAAAUCUUUGUCCUACAUUGGAUACUUGGGCAGCGACUUUGGAUAUGUCCUGCCAUCUUCCUCCAUAAAGUAACUUACUUGGUUUUCCAUUUAGCCUGAGUGAAGGGUAGCUGUCAAGCUUGCUGCCCUGUGUCUCGUCAGCCUGUGACUGAUAAAGGCAUGUUUAAUGUCUUGGGUUUCCCACAGUCUGACAGCCACUGGGAUUUACAGAAACGGCGUUGGAAGGAGAUGUGUUUUUUUAUAUGGUUGCACGACUUGUUGUGAAUACUCUCCAUUCUUAAAUGUUUCCUGAGCUGUGCAAUCGAUCUGUUAAGUAGUCUUUACUAUCACAACACAGAGAACCUGGUAUGAUUAUGGUGCCUAUCAGAUGGUCCUUGCUUUUGUUUCUCCACCUUUCCCAUCCAUGUUUACUGCCAUCUUUUAACUGUUUACUGCUGCACAAAGGGGUGCAGAAUGGGCUCUAAAAUGUAAUGAUCAAGCAAGAAAAUAAAAGAAAGCAUACCCUUCAGUG